This 30-nucleotide transfer RNA is filed under the name Paramoeba aestuarina. Its description in RNAcentral is "partial Selenocysteine transfer RNA". Lineage: Eukaryota; Discosea; Flabellinia; Dactylopodida; Paramoebidae. The record is from RNAcentral.
UGGUGGUGAUGGCAACAGGCUUCAAAACCA